RNAcentral lists this ribosomal RNA (207 nucleotides) under uncultured bacterium. Its description in RNAcentral is "partial 16S ribosomal RNA". It matches the Rfam family "Bacterial small subunit ribosomal RNA", at positions 568 to 774 of the family's 1533-position model. The record is from RNAcentral.
CGCGUAGGCGGUUUGGUCAGUCUGAUGUGAAAGCCCCGGGCUCAACCUGGGAACUGCAUUUGAUACUGCUGAACUAGAGUGUGGUAGAGGGAAGUGGAAUUCCGGGUGUAGCGGUGAAAUGCGUAGAGAUCCGGAGGAACAUCAGUGGCGAAGGCGGCUUCCUGGACCAACACUGACGCUGAGGUGCGAAAGCGUGGGUAGCAAACA